AGUUCGGAUUACUUCUUUAAGUCUCUGUUCUCUUUUUUCGCGCAAAAAUGCCGGAUCCAGCGAAAUCCGCUCCUGCUCCCAAGAAGGGCUCCAAAAAGGCUGUUACGAAAGUGCAGAAGAAGGACGGCGAGAAGCGCAAGCGCAGCCGCAAGGAGAGCUACUCCGUUUACGUGUAGGAGGUGCUGAAGCAGGUCCACCCCGACACCGGCAUCUCGUCCAAGACCAUGGGCAUCAUGAACUCCUUCGUCAACGACAUCUUCGAGCGCAUCGCGGGAGAGGCGUCCCGCCUGGCGCACUACAACAAGCGCUCCACCAUCACGUCCCGCGAGAUCCAGACGGCCGUGCGCCUGCUGCUGCCCGGCGAGCUGGCCAAGCACGCCGUGUCCGAGGGCACCAAGGCGGUCACCAAGUACACCAGCUCGAAGUUAAUAGGACCCAUCCUUUGGAAGUAGGAAAGUGGCAUAGAAGGAGAAGCUGAGUUAGAGAUCACUCACCCACUUGCCCAUCAACUGGAACUGCAAGAGAUCAGAGAAUAAAGAUAUCAGUUGGUCCAAGGAAAAUAA
This 563-nucleotide long non-coding RNA is filed under the name Homo sapiens (human). RNAcentral's name for it is "novel transcript". The record is from RNAcentral. Lineage: Eukaryota; Metazoa; Chordata; Mammalia; Primates; Hominidae.